UACGAAGGGUGCAAGCGUUAUCCGGAUUCACUGGGUUUAAAGGGUGCGUAGGUGGGCAGGUAAGUCAGUGGUGAAAUCUCCGAGCUUAACUCGGAAACUGCCGUUGAUACUAUUUGUCUUGAAUAUUGUGGAGGUAAGCGGAAUAUGUCAUGUAGCGGUGAAAUGCUUAGAUAUGACAUAGAACACCAAUUGCGAAGGCAGCUUACUACACAACGAUUGACGCUGAGGCACGAAAGCGUGGGGAUCAAACAGG
Molecule: ribosomal RNA, 253 nt
Filed under: uncultured bacterium
Lineage: Bacteria
Description: partial 16S ribosomal RNA
Rfam family: Bacterial small subunit ribosomal RNA
Source: RNAcentral